AGCGGAGGGGCUGAUUCUCUUUGACUCCCAUACUCCCAUCCAGUCAGUCGUGCGAGGAGCGGUACCAGCGACACUCGUCCGGGUCGAACGGUUGAAUAAGACCGCCGUGGUCAGCCUUCUCGGCAGACUGUUCCCUCGGAACAGUUUACCCGAAACUCUGUCGUGCUUCGAAUUUUGUUGUGUAUACCAGUAAAAAACGCACCGUGUGAAACGAAACGUGACAGGUGUCGAACAGUGGGAAGAACCGUGGACCGAGUGGACGAUACAAUGGAUCAGUGAUUUUCAACCACUAUGCUGAGGCACUUUAAUAUGCCGCGAGGUUUCUGAAGCGUGCCGCCACUGCCAGGCAGUGGUUCCUCCCGAAAUGAAAAUUAUUUAUCCUUUUUUACCUUUCUUUAUCAAUGGACAUGACAUUCAGUUCAAAUAUUUAUUUGAUUAUUUGAACUGAAGAGAUAGUGACAUUUGUGAUAAACGACACGUCGGUGUAUGAAUUAACUUUGAAAGAAGAAGAAUUAAUUUCGGUGUGAGAUUUAAUUUCAAAACAUUCAGAAGAAUCAAUUAAUAUGUUUUGGAUUAAUCUUAGACGCGACGACAGGCGCAUAUAUGUAAAUAUUUACAUAUUGUACACAGCGUGCACAUUGUAAUGACAGAGGAUGGAAAAGAGGGGUUGGAAACAUGACAUCGUGGAGAGUACUGUUCUUUUCGUACACGAGAAUGGCAAUAAGAGUACCUAACGAAGGUUGUCAGCGUGGACCUGAAGGAUGGUGCAUGAAGUGGACUUACGGGCGAGCGGGUGGCGGGUAUCCUUCUAAAAACGGAAGAGGAAAGCAGCUCUGUUGGAGCCUACAAACUGCUGCCUUCAAUGAGCACAGAUGAGGAGGGAGAUUGCUCAUGAAUUCCGAACUGUACACAUAUUAUGAGGGGAGUAAUGGUAGUGAGAAUGAGAGCAUAUCGACAUAAUGCGCACACCUUUCUCUCGUUGUAAAUUAAAUAAUCUUGUACGCUUCGUUAAAACAACGAGAUGAAUGUUAAAGAUAAUCGGAUAGAAUGAAGUCGCGAAGGUACUAAAAAAUAUUUCUCUUCAUCGUGCAAUGUAACUCUCAUACAAACACAGGAGGCAUUGUGAAUCAAAUAAUUCCUAAAAGUUAAGUUCAACGUUAAUAUUACCAAGUUGGAUGAAAUCAAGUGACAGAAGAGAGUCAUUGGAUGAAACCUGUCUUACUUUGGCAGAGCGCAUUCCGGAUCAACCCUUUUCCAAAUUCUUUGCAUCUUGGCACCGUACUAAAUCUCAAGAUCAAAAAAUUUAAUAACCGAGAGUGGAAAGAUAAGCACACGUCUUACGGAAUAACCCAGUUUGUGGCAGGAUGGAAGCGAACAGGAUCGAAAGAAUUCGGAAGAAGAAACGGACACCUGAAUUCCUGAAAUUAGUAUAUCACUUACUUUUACUAUUUGCUUUUAUACAGGAAGAUUCACGACAAACAGAACACCUAAACAUCUCAGUUGGACUUAAAGAUACGAACGUUUCUUAAAAUCACCGAGAUCUGGUGAAAUUUCAUUUCGGAUGAAGUGAUCUGUUCUUCGACCAGCGUCUGUUACUCGGAAUCGAAGAAGUUGGAAUUUCUGUGAUGUCAAGGAAAAGAACUGACGCGUUCCCUCGAACGACGCAACAAUUACCGUGUCAUGUGUGCAACCUGUGCGCGCACAGCGUGUAGCAGAGACUAAUUGUAAGAGGCAAUCUACAUUCUCAAUGUUCCAUCGAUCGAUUUGGGAUCGAGAAGGCGGGUUGGAAACAAUGAGAGCGCCGAGGACAGGAACUGCAUCCCAAAGCCGUCGUGUUCGUUCUUUUUUAUCGAUCCGGCGUCGAAAAAAUGUCGUUUCUUUACGAGCCAGUGUUCUGAUGCUAAAUAAUACAAUUAUCCGUGUGUUCGAAAUCCAGACAAUCCAUUUUUUGUUGUUGUUUAUUCAUCUGAAAAAAUUCCAACACGUCCGUAGCAUAACUGGACACGUCUGAGAAUUAUUUCAGAUUUUUUUGUUACAAAAUGUAACCGUGAAAAAUAAGAAACUCGUUUCUCCAUUCAAACAACUAGGUUGUUGCAUACAUGUUGAUAUCAAAACACUGAACAAGGUCAUAAACAAAGAAUAGCACUCGAAGAUAAAUUAAACAGUAGUCUACACAUGAAAACUUUAACCAAGUUCUCCAUUACCUUCAACAAUUUGUAUAAUUAGGUUCGAAUAAUUUACACAAAUUACAGAUAAACCUAUAUAAAUGAAAACAGGAAUAAUUUAUAAGUGUAAGUUAUGAAUUAGAUUCGUAUACAAGGUAUAAUUUUCACUCAACAACUAUGCCGUGGUAUACACUUUAAUACCAAGAUACUAAAAAAGUGUCAGAAAUAAGGAAGCAGCAACUUGAGACAAAUCAAUUAUUAAUUCAUGUAGUUAGAUUUAAAUAGAAUUAAACUUCCCACUGCUUAA
Long non-coding RNA from Ceratina calcarata, 2472 nucleotides. RefSeq lists it as uncharacterized. The record is from RefSeq and is a predicted model, not a curated record. NCBI's taxonomy places the organism in Eukaryota, Metazoa, Arthropoda, Insecta, Hymenoptera, Apidae. The transcript is spliced from 6 exons.